Dermacentor andersoni is the source of this 223-nucleotide long non-coding RNA. RefSeq lists it as uncharacterized. The record is from RefSeq and is a predicted model, not a curated record. Lineage: Eukaryota; Metazoa; Arthropoda; Arachnida; Ixodida; Ixodidae.
CCUGUCGAAAAAGGAGAUGGGAGCGCCUAAGAUGUCUGAAAAAUCAUCUGUUUGCAUCUGCAAUUUAGCACCACCCUGCAAUCUAUCAAGGACCGACACCGGCAAACAGGAGUUGAACAGAAACUACAAACCCUUUCAACCGGAACAAAGGUAUCUACACUUUACCUGUGAGCACGACAGAAUAAUGGUCGUCGGAGGCAGGUCAGUGGACCCUUCUUAUUUU